Molecule: long non-coding RNA, 238 nt
Filed under: Ananas comosus (pineapple)
Lineage: Eukaryota; Viridiplantae; Streptophyta; Magnoliopsida; Poales; Bromeliaceae
Description: long non-coding RNA (ACOM_LNC042184)
Source: RNAcentral
AAAAUGUAAAGUAAAGAGACACUAGAGUUAGUGUAAUGCAAAGAACCAGAGUGAUGAAAAGAAUGAUGAAAAUGACAAUGUGUAGAGUAAAGUAAAGUGGGGCAAUAAGAACAAGUAUUGUAACGAACAAGAAUGCUAGAGUUAGCAAGAGUAAAGAAAUGUAAAGAAUGUAAUUGCAUGAGUUUGCAACAUAAAGUGAUGUAAAGAACACUAGAGCUAGUGUAAAGUCAAGAUUGAA